AAGACUAUACUUUCAGGGAUCAUUUCUAUAGUAUCCAACUAGAGAAAUGCACUCGAAAGUGAUCGGCUGAGCAAGCCACGAGGAGGAGGUGUAGUGUUCUCUCCUGAGCGCGAAGCCGGCAGGCGGUGCUACUUCAUGUGGCUGCCGUCUGCCUUUGAUGACCGUUCCACCUCUUUCUUACAGAGAGGUUGGAGGGAGAGGACACAGUCUGAGUGGUU
Molecule: small nucleolar RNA, 218 nt
Organism: Naja naja (Indian cobra)
Lineage: Eukaryota; Metazoa; Chordata; Lepidosauria; Squamata; Elapidae
Source: Ensembl